RNAcentral lists this long non-coding RNA (997 nucleotides) under Spirodela polyrhiza (greater duckweed). Its description in RNAcentral is "long non-coding RNA (SPOL_LNC002598)". The record is from RNAcentral. Lineage: Eukaryota; Viridiplantae; Streptophyta; Magnoliopsida; Alismatales; Araceae.
UCAAGAUCGGGCCUUGUCCAACCGAAAUGCUGGGAACAUGAGAAACAAAAAGUCAUCAUGAAUUCAAGCUACUCACAAUGUCCAAAUAACUCCAGCUGUGUCGAAGAAUUUGAGUCAUACUGAGACUGAUUCUCCCUCACGAGAAAAGGAUACACAGGAUUUCGAUUGUCACUGCCAAACAUCUUCCUGGAAAUCCGAAAAUUAAUCGUUAGUAAUUCACAGUGGCCGAUGUGCAUUCAAGACAAAUGGAAAAAAUAGGCAAAAAAACUCUCGGAACAUAAGUCUUCUUGAGACAGAGUAGCAACUGAUUACUUGAUCAAACGGCCAUAGAUUGUAUUACUGAAAGCAGAAGAACUAGCACAGGAGGAUUCAAGACAUCAAGAGUUUGUGAUUUAAAGCCUGGUAUCCUAAGAAGCAACGCCUACGCAUACAUAUAUAUAUAUAUAUAUAUAUAUAUAUAUAUAUAUAUAUAUAUAUAUAUAUAUAUAUAUAUAUAUAUAUAUAUCAGGAUGGGUGUUUAAAUGAGAGGUCAGAAGUCUAGCUCAAGUCAGAAUCAACAAAAACGGAAGGCUCUGCCGCCUGUUGUUCAUUCAGUCUAUAUGUUCAAAUUUGUGUAUAUAUAUAUCUACAUAUUCCCACAGCCCGAACGUUAAGCGCCUAUCAAUCAACAGAUGAAUCAAAGGCAAACGAUGGUGGACUAGAGAAACUGGGGACGCCCAAGGAUAAUCAGUAAGCGUAGUAAUUCCUUCAACUUCAAAGAAAAAAAUGAAACCGCUUUCGUUUCCCGAUUCGAAGGUUUAUAUUAUCUCAAAGCUUUGGACGAUCCUCGCACUACUUCAAAGAAAAGGCGGAUGCUCCCGCAAGACCCGCACUCGAAGGGAAGCAGAGAGUCAUCCAUGCGGCCCCCAUGGAACCAGCAAUUAAGGAAUAGAUAGCACGAGAUAAGGACCGAUUCAAUCGCAAACGAAUGAAACUCUCCGGAAAACACACUCCCAAC